CCUACGGGUGGCAGCAGUGGGGAAUAUUGCACAAUGGGGGAAACCCUGAUGCAGCGACGCCGCGUGAGUGAAGAAGUAAUUCGUUAUGUAAAGCUCUAUCAGCAGGGAAGAAAAUGACGGUACCUGAGUAAGAAGCCCCGGCUAACUACGUGCCAGCGGCCGCGGUAAUACGUAGGGGGCAAGCGUUAUCCGGAUUUAGUGGGUUUAAAGGGUGCGUAGGCGGACUGUUAAGUCAGCGGUAAAAGCCCGGGGCUCAACCCCGGCGAGCCGUUGAAACUGGCUGUCUAGAGAUGUCGAGAGGUAUGCGGAAGGCGCAGUGUAGCGGUGAAAUGCUUAGAUAGUGCGCAGAACUCCGAUUGCGAAGGCAGCAUACCGGCGGCGAUCUGACGCUGAGGCACGAAAGCGUGGGUAUCGAACAGGAUUAGAUACCCUUGUAGUC
Molecule: ribosomal RNA, 439 nt
Filed under: uncultured bacterium
Lineage: Bacteria
Description: partial 16S ribosomal RNA
Rfam family: Bacterial small subunit ribosomal RNA
Source: RNAcentral